UCUCGGGAACGGAUAUCUCGUCUCUUGAAUUGAUGAAGAACGUAGCGAAAUGCGAUACUUUGUGUGAAUUGCAGAAUCCCGUGAACCAUCGAGUCUUUGAACGCAAGUUGCGCCCGAAGCCAUUUGGCCGAGGGCACGUCUGCCUGGGCGUCA
RNAcentral lists this ribosomal RNA (153 nucleotides) under Solanum lycopersicum (tomato). Its description in RNAcentral is "5.8S ribosomal RNA". It matches the Rfam family "5.8S ribosomal RNA". From Rfam's summary of the family: 5.8S ribosomal RNA (5.8S rRNA) is a component of the large subunit of the eukaryotic ribosome. The record is from RNAcentral. Lineage: Eukaryota; Viridiplantae; Streptophyta; Magnoliopsida; Solanales; Solanaceae.